RNAcentral lists this long non-coding RNA (748 nucleotides) under Vitis vinifera (wine grape). RNAcentral's name for it is "long non-coding RNA (VVIN_LNC005876)". Lineage: Eukaryota; Viridiplantae; Streptophyta; Magnoliopsida; Vitales; Vitaceae. The record is from RNAcentral.
GAGAAGCCACAGGAGGAGGUGAUUGUUACCGACUUUGAGAAGGUUACCAUUUCCGAGCCUGAGCCAAAGGUGGAGGAGGAGGAGGAGAAGAAGCAUGGACUCUUGGAGAAGCUUCACCGAUCUGAUAGCAGCUCCAGCUCUGUGAGUUUUUAUCUUAUAUCAAUGUUUUUUUUUUGUUUUUUUCCUCGUUUGUUUACAGGCUUAAUGGAGGGAAGGAUUAAAUAGUAAUUUUGUUGUUCCCUGAUAGCUGGGGGGUGAUCUCCCCGCUCCACGUAUAAAUCCUUAGACUUCAAUGACUAAUCUGCCCUCACGUUUAAAAAACUUGCAGUCGAGCGAGGAGGAAGGAGAGGGAGGAGAAAAGAAGAAGAAGAAAAAGAAGGACAAGAAGAAAAAGGAGGAGGACACUUGUGUGCCGGUGGAGAAGUGUGAUGAAGUAGUUCCACCACAGCCGGAGGAGAAGAAGGGCUUCUUAGACAAGAUCAAGGAGAAACUGCCAGGACAGCACAAGAAGGCAGAAGAGGUUCCUCCUCCGCCACCACCUCCGGCAGAGUGCUCCCCCUCCUCAGAGACACACGAAGGCGAGGUAAAGGAGAAGAAGGGAAUAUUGGAGAAGAUCAAGGAAAAGCUUCCUGGAUACCACCCCAAGACCGAAGAAGAGAAGAAAGAGAAAGAGAAGGAUUGUGAAUAAGCCCAUAGAAAAAAAAACCAAUGUUUAUCGUUGAUUGUGCGGUUUGUUUGAUCACAGGAU